AGUGAACGCUGGCGGUAGGCCUAACACAUGCAAGUCGAACGGCAGCACAGUAAGAGCUUGCUCUUACGGGUGGCGAGUGGCGGACGGGUGAGGAAUAAAUCGGAAUCUACUUUUUCGUGGGGGAUAACGUAGGGAAACUUACGCUAAUACCGCAUACGACCUACGGGUGAAAGCAGGGGAUCUUCGGACCUUGCGCGAUUGAAUGAGCCGAUGUCGGAUUGGCUAGUUGGCGGGGUAAAGGCCCACCAAGGCGACGAUCCGUAGCUGGUCUGGGAGGAUGAUCAGACACACUGGAACAGAGACACGGACCCGAGGUCUACGCGAGGCAGCGGUGGGGAAUAAUGGACAAUGGGCGAAUGCCUGAUCCAGUCAUACAGCGUCGGUGAAGAAGGCAUUCGGGUUGUAAAGUCGUUUUGUUGGGAAAGAAAAGCAGCAGGUUAAUACCCCGCUGUUCUGACGGUACCCAAAGAAUAAGCACCGGCUAACUUCGUG
Molecule: ribosomal RNA, 492 nt
Filed under: uncultured bacterium
Lineage: Bacteria
Description: partial 16S ribosomal RNA
Rfam family: Bacterial small subunit ribosomal RNA
Source: RNAcentral